UGGGGAAUAUUGCACAAUGGGGGAAACCCUGAUGCAGCAACGCCGCGUGAGUGAUGACGGCCUUCGGGUUGUAAAGCUCUGUCUUCAGGGAAGAUAAUGACGGUACCUGAGGAGGAAGCCACGGCUAACUACGUGCAAGCAGCCGCGGUAAUACGUAGGGGGAGAGCGUUGUCCGGAUUUACUGGGCGUAAAGGGAGCGUAGGCGGACUUUUAAGUGAGAUGUGAAAUACCCGGGCUCAACUUGGGUGCUGCAUUUCAAGCUGGAAGUCUAGAGUGCAGGAGAGGAGAAUGGAAUUCCUAGUGUAGCGGUGAAAUGCGUAGAGAUUAGGAAGAACACCAGUGGCGAAGGCGAUUCUCUGGACUGUAACUGACGCUGAGGCUCGAAAGCGUGGGGAGCAAACA
RNAcentral lists this ribosomal RNA (402 nucleotides) under uncultured prokaryote. RNAcentral describes it as "bacterial SSU rRNA". It matches the Rfam family "Bacterial small subunit ribosomal RNA", at positions 355 to 774 of the family's 1533-position model. The record is from RNAcentral.